RNAcentral lists this long non-coding RNA (1702 nucleotides) under Anser cygnoides (Swan goose). Its description in RNAcentral is "lncRNA (ENSACDG00005008376.1)". The record is from RNAcentral. Lineage: Eukaryota; Metazoa; Chordata; Aves; Anseriformes; Anatidae.
GGACUGGCCGCCAGGCCGGCACGGCACGGCCGGGGACCGCGGAGAGCAGCAGGCUCAGCCCGGCACAGCCCCGCGGCCUCUCUCCUCCUCCCGACCGCCCCCCCCCCCCCCAACACCCCCCCCCCCNNNNNNNNNNNNNNNNNNNNNNNNNNNNNNNNNNNNNNNNNNNNNNNNNNNNNNNNNNNNNNNAACCCGGCGAGCCGAAACCCCUGCGGUCACGCUUCGGGAAAUAAAUACGUUUCACGGGGUCCCUCACAGCCCCGGAGCCACCACAGGUCCCCACAAAGGCAGGCGGCCCGGCCCGGCCCGGCCCGGCGCCCCGCUUACCCUCCCGGCGCCGCUCUCCGCCUUCGCCCUGCCCGCCCCCGAGUAACGGCGCCGGCCGCGCUGCGCCGCGGGGCAGCUGCUGAGGCACGCCCCGGCGGCCUGAAACCUAAUCCUGACCGCCGCCCCCGCGGCUCGGCACGGCUCGGCACGGCUCGGGGGGAGCCGGGGGGCCGGGGGGUCCCCUGCCCGGGGCCCUGCCAGCGGUUUCCCGGCGGUACGCGAGGCUCCAAACCGGGCCGGGUGGCUCAGCGCACGCCCUUCGCCAGGAUGGGACCGAGCGGCUGGCAACUAAAAGAAGGUGCUGUGUACCUUUCACAUAAGUAUAAACACCGUGAGAGCAAAGCACGUAAUGCAGGAACGGUUGGUAUGAGAGUAAAAAUUAUUUCUGCAAAACAAAGUGCAAUUAUUUCACUUGAUUUCUUAAGUUUGCAUGCUUGGACAUCACAUCAUCAAGACUGUGGGCUCCACUGCUCCUUGCCAAGAGAUAAUGCCAUGUUGCAAAUGCAGAUGGCGGCUCUGCUCCAAUGAGACUCUUUGUGGUGAAAAGAGCCCUGGGUCUGCAGCUGCUUGGCGCCUGGCUCUCCCGCCUGCCUUCUCGCUUUGACUUGGUUCUUCCCGCAAACGGAUUUGAGUGUGUUACCAUAUUCAAGCAAUAGUUUUUGUUGUUGUUUUGUACCAAAAACAAUUAAAGAAUAUCAUUGUUUUGGAGAUAAAGUAGAAUACCACCCUAUUUAUCUGAGAGAGGAUUGAUGAAUGCGAUACCGGUAUUGGCACUUUCAAAAGCAGAACAUUUCUCAUGUAAAUUUAAAGGAACACCACUCUUUGUACAUGUAAUGUUUUUAUUAUUGUUGUUAUUAUUUGACAAAUUAACUUCUGAAAAAAGUUGACCCUCAAGACAAUGUCAUUUAUUACAGCUGGCAGAUUGAAGGACUCCAAAUGAUUAGCUACCUGUUUCUCUGAUAUAUAUUCAGAUCUGCGUGUAAUUAUAUGUUUAACAAUCAUUCUUCCACUUCUUGACUAUGAAAAAAUUAAUCAUUUUCAAUAUUUAAUUCACAGGUUAUACUGCUCAAUCCAUUGUGUGCUGGUGAGCAUAUUGCCCAUCAAAUCAAAUAUUGGGGCUCUGUUUGCUAUUGCUAUAACAGUGAAUGCUCUAUAAACUGCCCCACCCGCUUUUCAUGUCACAUUCGCCUUUAUUGACUCUAGAGUGAAAUCUUAUGUAUAAGGCACAAUUUGCAUGUAUCAUUGUUUAACAAAUAAUCCACAGUCGAAUAGGUAAAUGCAAAACCAGACCGCUAUUAUUUAUUCUGUUGCUCCGGCUUUAACCAUGGCAUCCCAAUGAAAUAAAAUACAGUGAAGUCCGUAAGUUUAUCUGGAG